Molecule: long non-coding RNA, 516 nt
Organism: Prosopis cineraria
Lineage: Eukaryota; Viridiplantae; Streptophyta; Magnoliopsida; Fabales; Fabaceae
Exons: 4
Source: RefSeq, a predicted model, not a curated record
UUGCAACUUUUGGCCCAAAAGUUUGAAUAAUUAAAUUCAAACCUAUAGUUCUUUUUAAUAUAAUUUUGGGACUCACAAUCCCAUUUUUAUAUUAUUUUUUUCUCUUCCUCUCACAUUGCUCGGCGUUUUCUCGCAAGGGGGGAUUUUUUUUUUCUUCAGAUUAUAUUGACAAAGAUAGUGGUGAAAAAGGAGUUGUGAAGGGGAACUUGUUAUUCAAGACACAAGGAGUGAGUCCGGCCGAGAAAGCACCAGAGGUGUAAUUAUAGUGUGAGCAACGAUGGGUUUAAUUUGGGUUGCAUUCUCAGAUCGAAGUAUAAAUUAGUUAUGUUUGCCUAUGAUAUUCAUUUUAUGUGGCGAAAGAUAGUUGCCUAUGAUUUUCUUGCCAUGGUUGCUGGCCUGCCGUCCUGUAAGGAACAAGGGAAAUGAAGCACCAUGAUUGUCGUUGUUUGAUAGAGAAACGAAAGGGUGUAAGAGAAGAUGAAAUGAGAUCCAUCUAAUGUGUAUACGAUUUUUUUA